Molecule: long non-coding RNA, 473 nt
Organism: Pundamilia nyererei
Lineage: Eukaryota; Metazoa; Chordata; Actinopteri; Cichliformes; Cichlidae
Exons: 3
Source: RefSeq, a predicted model, not a curated record
GCUACACUUUACACUCUUCUUCCUCUUUUUAAACUCCAGCUCAAAAAUGCUCAAUGAAGCUGUAUUACUCUCCAGGCUAGGGAAGAGCAUUACUAAAGGGGGGUUAUGAUGAACCCCCAUGGACUUAGCCAACCACCAAGAGCUGCUGGAAGGGCAUCAUCCCUAACUGGCUUCCCACCCUCGAACAUGGAGUGUAUGAGGAAUGCAGCUCUGAGUCAGCACAGAGGAACGCCAGUGAAAGCCAAUAUGAGACAGAGGAUGGAUUAUAUGAGAGACCUUAUGAGAGCUUGGACUGCCAUAAAUUUCCUGUUGCUACUGGAGCAGUGACACUCUGGAGGAUACAGCCGAGCAGUAUUUUCUUAGCUCGGUGACAGCCAAUCAAGAGAAAGCCCAUAAAACAUAUCACUUUUGUAAUUUUUUUCCCGUCUGUGCUAAGUUGCAGCUUUAAAAAUCCCACUGGGGUUCAAACCUGA